UGAAAAUAUAUAGUUACAAAGGUGAUACUUAUCAGCUGUACAGAUGUCACCAAAAGGGGCUGCCCAAACAAAAAGUUGGCUGCCCAAAAAGCAUACAUAUAUAUCUAUAUGUAUAUCCCUUACCUUCCUUUUAAAGUUAUACAUAACUCUAAUUAGGAUAUUACCUAAACACCCCAUCACAAAUCCUUAAAUUACGAUAAGAAUUUAUGCUAAGCAAGUUGGCAAUUAUCACAACACUUCAAGUUCCCAAAAUGAGACUAAAACAUAUUCUAGUAAUUAAGCAACGGUAAAUCGACAUGCGACUCUAGG
Molecule: long non-coding RNA, 309 nt
Filed under: Solanum tuberosum (potato)
Lineage: Eukaryota; Viridiplantae; Streptophyta; Magnoliopsida; Solanales; Solanaceae
Description: long non-coding RNA (STUB_LNC011636)
Source: RNAcentral